Gopherus evgoodei (Goodes thornscrub tortoise) is the source of this 1361-nucleotide long non-coding RNA. RefSeq lists it as uncharacterized. The transcript has 3 exons. NCBI's taxonomy places the organism in Eukaryota, Metazoa, Chordata, Testudines, Testudinidae. The record is from RefSeq and is a predicted model, not a curated record.
GCCUGCUGUCGCCGCCCGCCCGUGCCGCUCCGCUCUCACCGCCCCAAGGAUACCUGCCUCAUUUGAUGGAUCUGUUAGCAUUUGAGAUUUUCUUCUGGUCUCAGUGUACUCCAUGGUCCUGCUGUCCAGCCUGUCUCUCUGCUCCCUGUCGCUGCUCCUCAUGGAGGCAAGAAGAGCAGAGGGGCCAAGGAGGCAGUGUGAGAAUGGAAUUAGAUGGUGGAGACCUGUUCCAGUGCUGUACUCCCCAUAGGUUCCCUGCCAUAUAUGUGUGGCUGGUAGGCUGGAUGGGCAGUCUUUUUCCAGGCUGCUCAUGCAAACUUCAGCCAGCCACUUGACACGCCUCAUCACCUCUCAGCCUUCAGGAGGGAGUCCUGACCUGACAGAUCUGAGCAACUCCAUCAGCCUAGGACAGCUGUUGAUGAAUCUGAUCAGAUGGGACUACUCACAGUAGUAACCAUUAUGCUGUGUAGUAAAUGCUUGCUGGAUGAGGCCCUUAAUUAUUUCCUCUCUAUUAAUAAGAAGCAAAUAGAGAAUGGCUUCAGCUCUGGCAGUUCUGUAAUCUCUGGAUUAUAAAGUUGUCUUGUCUUUUUAGAAUCUUCUUUGAAAUAUGUAUGGCUGUAUUCGUUAUUAAGCAGAUACCUGGGUAUCUGAAAUCCACAUAAUUAACAAAAAUAUGGCACUUUGCCUUAUCUGCCUUUCCUUUUCUUUCCAAGUGUUAUAGUAUUGCUGAAACUGAUUUCUGAUUUACUGCAGUGUAGCCAUUGUGGAUUACUAGGAAACAUGCUUGUCAGUAUUCUUAUAAUCCAGUACUGCCAUAUUGCAAGAACACAUGAGCCCCAAAGCAAAAUGUAAGAUAACAAAUUCAGCCAGUGAAAAAGGUGAAAAUUGACUUCGAGGUGAUGAUAGAAUAGUGAGAAGUUAGAGCUUCAGAAAUUUUCCCUGGAGUUGUCAUCCUUGUACUCUAUCUUAAUUUGAAUUGAUGUGAAUAUAGGAUAGAGAAAUCUCAAAAUCUGUAACUUUUUUAAUACAAAUAUAUAUACUACCAUCGGUUUUAAGAAAAUCCUAAAUAUACUGCUGUAUAGAGCACUAACCAGACUGUUGUUUAAUUAGGAUUUCAGGUUUUUCAUGUCAAAUUUACUGUUAAGAACUUAAGCAUGGCCAUACUGGUUGAGACCAAGGGUCCUGUCUGCCGACAGUGGCCAAUGCCAGGUGCCCCAGAGGGAGUAAACCUAACACGUAAUGAAAUCAUCAACAUUUAAUUAGUAAAGAGCAAGCUACUUAGGAGCCCAGUCCUGCAACAUUUAUAUAUAAGUGGGCCCUCUGAACUCCAUAGGAUUACUCACAUGCCUAAAGUUGCUCAC